This 687-nucleotide long non-coding RNA is filed under the name Eucalyptus grandis. RNAcentral describes it as "long non-coding RNA (EGRA_LNC007305)". Lineage: Eukaryota; Viridiplantae; Streptophyta; Magnoliopsida; Myrtales; Myrtaceae. The record is from RNAcentral.
GCCCACUCGAGAGCCCCGACGACCGCAGAUCCGAGCUGGUCGUCACUCCACCGCUGAGUGAGCCCCCGCACCGGCCCGCAUCUCCUCUGUUGCUCGUGCCGCGCCACCACCAGGGUUCCCCUCGCCCGCGAGCAGCUACGCCGACCGCCGUGCAGCCCUCGCCCUACCUUCGAUGCCUCCACCCGACGACCCGCGAAGCACAUCUCCAAGGCCCGACACCAUCUCAGCCGCGAAGCCGUCGCUUCGCUCGCGAUCCGGAGCCCAGAUCCCGAUUCCUCUCUGCUGCAAGCCGUAAGCAGCUCUCUGCCCCUGCCUUCGCCGGUGGACCACUGCCACCUGACGCCAGCAGCCAAGCAAUCGCCGGCACCGCGACGACACCCUGCGACGCUGCUGCUUCUGCCAGAUCUGCCGCCCCAACAGCAAAACUUGACGCCUGCAGAGCCUCCGACCAGCGACCCGACGCCUCCGCCGUGCUGCUCUGCCGUAUCUGACCCGACGCCACAGCAAAAAACCAGCACCGGCGCCUGCUGCAGCCACAGCCGACCCCGAUCCUCUGCCCGAGCCCGAGUUGAGUUGCUCCGCUCUCUGCCCGAGCCCGAGCCGCCUAGCUCCGUCUCUGCUCCGACGCACCACCGCUCUGCUGUGCCCUCGCCGGAGCUCUGACGCCGGCCAUCCUCCGCCCGGCGC